This 344-nucleotide ribosomal RNA is filed under the name uncultured bacterium. Its description in RNAcentral is "bacterial SSU rRNA". It matches the Rfam family "Bacterial small subunit ribosomal RNA", at positions 1166 to 1505 of the family's 1533-position model. The record is from RNAcentral.
GAGGAAGGUGGGGAUGACGUCAAGUCCUCAUGGCCUUUAUGUCCAGGGCUACACACGUGCUACAAUGGCCGGUACAAACCGCUGCAAACCCGCGAGGGUGAGCCAAUCGGAGAAAGCCGGCCUCAGUUCGGAUUGUAGUCUGCAACUCGACUACAUGAAGCUGGAAUCGCUAGUAAUCGCGGAUCAGCAUGCCGCGGUGAAUACGUUCCCGGGCCUUGUACACACCGCCCGUCACACCAUGGGAGUUGGUUCGACCUUAAGCCGGUGUGCGAACCCAGCAAUGGGACGCAGCCGACCACGGUCGGGUUAGCGACUGGGGUGAAGUCGUAACAAGGUAGCCGUAA